UACGGAGGAUGCAAGCGUUAUCCGGAAUGAUUGGGCGUAAAGCGUCCGCAGGUGGCUGUGUAAGUCUGCUGUCAAAGAGCGAAGCUCAACUUCGUAAAGGCAGUGGAAACUACACGGCUAGAGUGCGUUCGGGGCAGAGGGAAUUCCUGGUGUAGCGGUGAAAUGCGUAGAGAUCAGGAAGAACACCGGUGGCGAAGGCGCUCUGCUAGGCCGCAACUGACACUGAGGGACGAAAGCUAGGGGAGCAAAUGGG
Molecule: ribosomal RNA, 253 nt
Filed under: uncultured bacterium
Lineage: Bacteria
Description: partial 16S ribosomal RNA
Rfam family: Bacterial small subunit ribosomal RNA
Source: RNAcentral